CCAGGAAUGAAAACCUCUCUCCUGUGUCAUCCUCCAAAGCCCAUGAACACCCAACUGUCCAUAAAGGUGGCAAGAGCUUAAAACUCUCAGCACAGCUACAAGAAUCUUGGAGAAAUAUUAUCUUGGCCUGUCAGUGGACACACAGCACGUUUGCCUGAACCUCCGUGCCAUGCUGUUCACAGCAAGUUUUGUGAAACACAUCAGAUCAUCAGCAGUUUUUGCUUCUCUGAGUCAUGGAAAACAUAA
This is a long non-coding RNA of Neopelma chrysocephalum (saffron-crested tyrant-manakin), 246 nucleotides long. RefSeq lists it as uncharacterized. The record is from RefSeq and is a predicted model, not a curated record. The transcript is spliced from 3 exons. Lineage: Eukaryota; Metazoa; Chordata; Aves; Passeriformes; Pipridae.